Molecule: ribosomal RNA, 388 nt
Filed under: uncultured bacterium
Lineage: Bacteria
Description: bacterial SSU rRNA
Rfam family: Bacterial small subunit ribosomal RNA
Source: RNAcentral
AUUGAACGCUGGCGGCAUGCUUUACACAUGCAAGUCGAGCGGCAGCGCGGGGGGCAACCCUGGCGGCGAGCGGCGAACGGGUGAGUAAUGCAUCGGAACGUAUCCUGUAGUGGGGAAUAACUCACCGAAAGGUGAGCUAAUACCGCAUAAGCUCUGAGGAGGAAAGCGGGGGGACCGAAAGGCCUCGCGCUGCAGGAGCGGCCGAUGUCCGAUUAGCUAGUUGGUGAGGUAAAGGCUCACCAAGGCGACGAUCGGUAGCUGGUCUGAGAGGAUGAUCAGCCACACUGGGACUGAGACACGGCCCAGACUCCUACGGGAGGCAGCAGUGGGGAAUUUUGGACAAUGGGGGAAACCCUGAUCCAGCCAUGCCGCGUGAGUGAAGAAGGCC